This is a long non-coding RNA of Antechinus flavipes (yellow-footed antechinus), 6367 nucleotides long. RefSeq lists it as uncharacterized. The transcript is spliced from 3 exons. NCBI's taxonomy places the organism in Eukaryota, Metazoa, Chordata, Mammalia, Dasyuromorphia, Dasyuridae. The record is from RefSeq and is a predicted model, not a curated record.
UGUGUGUGUGUUUCUUUCCAUUUAUAUUCCUGGAGUCAAGUAUAUUGUUUUCUCUACUUAUUUCAUUCCUUCAGUUCAUAGAAACCUUUCCAUGCUUCUCAUUAUUCACCAAUAUAUCAUACUUUGUAGCACAGCUACCUUCCAUUACAUUCAUAAUUUGUUUAGUCAUUCCCCAGCUGAUAGAUGUUUAUUUUGUUUCCAAUUCUUUGUUAUGAAAGAAAGUGCUGCUAUAAAUAUUUUGGAAGCAGUGGCUUCCUUGGAAGACAAACCCAUAAUGGAGUCUUUGGUUCAGAGGAUACAGACAUCUUAGUCAUUUUAUUUGCAUAAUUUCAAAUUGCUUUCCAAAAUCGUAUCAUUUCACAGCUCCAUCAAUAAUGUAUUUAGUGUUCCAAUCAUCCUUCAACCCCUCUAGCAUUGAGUAUUGCUAAUUUUUUUUCUCCUCUUUGCCAGUUUUCAGGAUAUGAAGUAAAACCUCAGGGUUGUUCUGAUGUGUAUUUCUUGUGUGGUUGUGAAUAUUUUGCAAUUCUUUUGAGAACUGCUUGUUUAUGUCCUUUUACCACUUAUAUGUUGGGGAAUGUCUCUGUCAAUUAGGUUUUUAGAUACUUUAAAUGGACAGUGAGCUGAAUUUAGAUCUCAAUAGGAAUAAGGGAGUGUGAUUAAUUACCUAUUGAAAAUUGCAUUUUUAAUGAUUCCAUCUUCCCUCUUGGAACUUUUCUACAGGCUUGUUUUCCAUACCUAGAAUAUAUAGUGUCAUCACCUACACUUUUUAGAAUGCUUAAUUCCCCUGAAGCCUUGCUUAAAUGCUACCUCCUACAUAACUCACAGCUAGGUUAAAUGGAAGGUAGAGUGCUGGACCUGGAGUCAGGGAGACCUAAAAUCAAGUUUAAGAUACCUAAUGACAGGACCCCAACCAAGUCAUUAAUCUCUGUCUGCUUCCAUUUUCUUAUCUAUAAGAGAGAAUAAUGAACAGCUGUUAUCCUCCUACAUUAUUGUAAGGAUCAAUUGAGACAAUAUUCAUAGAGCACUUUGCAAAUCUUAAAACACUUUAGAAAUGCUUGUGAUGAUAACAUGCUUGAUCCCACCAGAUGCUUAAUGCCUCCCUCCAAAGUUAUCUUGUGUAGUGUAGGUGUGCUCAUUGUCUCAACUCUUAGAAUAUAAACUAUAAAGGGUAAUAUAUAAGCCUAAAAGUGUAGGUUGGGCAAGUUGUGAUGGAUUUUAAAUGUCAAACAGAAGAACUUUAAGUAGGAUUCCUGAAUUAAUAAGGUGCCAUUGGAAUUUGAGUAGGGGAGUGACAUAGUCAGAUCUGGGCUUUAGGAAAAUUACUUUAAUGUUCAUGUAGGACAGAUAUGUCAAACUUAUAGCCCAUUGCUGCAAGCAGAUAUUAAUUUGUAGUUUUCUAAGUCAAAAUGCUCCCAUAGGACCUGUUUCUAUUUGACACCACUAUUAAUGAAAAUGAAGUAGAGCAGGAAGAGACUUGAGACAGAGAGGCUAAAAAGCUGGCUGGGAGUAAUGGGGACCUGAAUAAGGAUAGUGGCUGGGUCAGUGGAAAAAAAAUUGAUUAUUUUAAGAUGUUAUAGAUGAAGAAAUUAUAAGAUUUUUCAAUUUUCUGAAUUUGUAAGGUGAAAAAAUUAAGAGUUCAGGAGAAUGGUAGGUAGGUAUGAUAGAAUCCCUGGCAGGAACAGGGAAAUCUAGGGAAAGGAUGAGUUUGGAGGGAAUGAUGAAUUCUAUUUUGGACAUGUUAAGUUGGAGAUGCCUAUAGGACAUUCAGUUUGAAAUGACCAAAAGAAGUUGUUGUUUUAAGAGUGACUCUAAUAAGAGAGACAAAACUGGAUCUCUAGCUCCAGAAAUCAUUAGAAUGAUUAUAUCCAUAUGAGAUGAUGAAGGCACUGAGAGAAAGAGAGAAGAAAUAGAGGCCCUAAGACAGAACCUGGAAUAAUAUUCAAUAAAAGAAAGCUUUAUUCAAAUAAAAGCAGCUUGGGAGAAAGUAGUGUCAUUAAUUAGAAAUUAUUUCAUGCAGAGGAUUUGUAUUUUAAUAUUCCAUUUGUGAUCUACUUGUGAAUAAUACUUUUUCAAAUGGAGUGAUUAGUAAUAAGGAAUGAUUGAUAAACUGCAUCUAGAUAAAAAUGUGACUUUGAAGAAUGAAGUAUGUGUUUAAUUUGUGUCUCUCUGGGAAAUGAUUUCCUUGAGUAAUAAGAAAAUUAUUUACAAUACAGAAAGUCUUUUAUAAAGGGAGAAAAAUGUAAGUGGAGUCUCAAUUACCCUUGAUAUAUAUUUCAAUAUUUGUUACUCCAGUUUCAUGGCUUACUUCCUGGCUAUUUUCUUGGGAGCAACUUUGUUGUCUAAACCAGAAGCCAUGCCCUGUGAAUUCUAUCCUUUUUUCACCACUUAUACUAAGCUCCAAGUCCCAGAUGUCCUGGUCAGUGGUUAUUUCAGGCUCUCACCACAUAUUAGUUCAACUCCUGCCUACUUUCACUUUGGCCAUCUUCUCACUAGAAACCUUGCCUAUUUACGUGGGCUCCAUCACUCUGUCCUCUCAUUUUCUAGUUCUUGAACAUCUAUAUUCAAAUUCAUUCUGUCAUUGUUCUUAUAAAGGACAUAUCAAUUUACUUCUCUGAAGUUCCAGUCACUGUUCCUGUGACUCUUUUAAGCCAAAACCAUCCUCUGUGCCCACCAUUUCCCUGCAUGUCUUUUAGAAUGUAAACUUCUCAGUGGAAGAUACGGAUCUUUUGCUUUUGUUUUUUUCCCUCAGCACUCUGCAUAGUUCUUGGUACGUAGCUUACUUUAAUAAAUACUUCUUGAUUCAUUCUUGUUCCACAUAAUAGACAGACUUUGUAUGAAAAAAAAUGUUUUUGAUAUUUCAGAAAUUACUGACAUUCUAAGAUGUGGCUGUCGAAUUCACCUGGGAGAAAUGGGGGCUGUUGAAACCAGCUCAGAAGGACUUGUUCAGGAAUGUGAUGCUGGAAAACUAUGAGAAUUUUAUCUCCCUUGGGUCAUGUCAGUUUUCAAGCCAGAUGUCAUCUCCCAGUUGGAAAAAGGAGCAGUAUCAAGGUGUCCAGCUGAAGAAGUUUCAAGAGCCUUUAUCUUGAUUUUCCUCAUAAAUGUAACAUAAUUGGACAGAAAUACAGUCAGGAGUCAAUUCCUGAUGCCCAAAAGCGAAUUCUUGGAGUAAAUGUAAAACAAUAUUCAGCUGUAAUUGAGAAUGAUAAAAUCGCUGGAGGUGAAAACCUUUAUGAAUAUAAUAAAUGCAAGAUCUUCACUUGCCAUUCAAACUAUAUUUUUCAGCAUGGAACAGAUACUCAAAGAAAACACUUUAAACAUAAAAUAUCCAGGAUAACCAUUAGCAGUAAACAAAAUCUAAUUACUCACCAUUCAGAUGAUUCUGAGGAGAAUCUAUUUAAAUGUAAUUUAGCAACCUUCAACAAAAUUCAAAGCCUAUCUCAACAUCAAAAGAUUAAUAGUAGAGAGAAGUUGUUUGAAUGUAAAGAAUAUAGGAAAGCCUUCAACAGAAAGGGGACUGUCUAUAAACAUCAGAUGAUUCAAAGUGGGGAAAAACUCUAUAUAGGUAAUGAAUGUAGCAAAGCCUUUAGCCAAAAGGGGAUUCUUUUUAAACAUAAGAAGAUUCACACUGGUGGGAAGCCUUAUGUUUGCAAUGAAUGUGGCAAAACCUUCAAGUAUAGAAGACAUCCUGAAAUAGAAAUAACUAUUUCAUUCAUUCUGGAAAAAAGCCCUGUAAAUGUAAUGUAUGUGGGAAAGUCUGUAGUAAAAAGUGUCACUUAGAAAAACAUUAAAAAAAAUUCAUUUUUCUGGAGAAAAGCCCUGUAAAUAUUCUGAUUAUGGGAAAACCUUCAGCAGUAAUAAUUACCUAAUUGAACAUCAAAAAAUUCAUACUGGAGAAAAGCCCUUUAAAUGUAAGAAAUAUGGGAAAGGCUUCAGUCAAAAGGGACCACUCUAUAUGAACCUAACAGAAUCCAUGUGGAGUGGAGAAAAUUCCUUUGAAUGUAAUGAAUGUGGGAAAACAUUCAUCAGUAAUCAAAAUCUAUCACAUCAAAUUAUACAUACUAGAAAGAAAACCUAUAAAUGUAGUGAAUGUGGAAAAACUUUCAUCAGUAAGGGCUACAUAAUCCAACAUCAACGAAUUCAUGCUGAUGAGAAGCCUAAAAAAUGUAAUGAAUGUGGGAAAGCCUUCCUUAGUAAUCAAGACCUAGUUUGACAUCUAAUUAGCCAUACUGGAUAGAAACCCUAUAAAUGUAAUGAAUGUGGAAAAGCUUUUAGGAAUAAUAGCUACCUUAUUAGACAUCAAAAAAUCCAUAAUUUAUAGGAGUCAAAUAAAUGUUAUGAGUGUGGGAAAUCCUUUAGCAGUAAUAGUUACUUACUUUAACAUAAAAAAAUCCAUAUUGGAGCAAAGCCCUAUAAAUGCAAUGAAUGUGGGAAAGCCUUCAUAGUAAUAGCUAUAUAAUUGAACAUCAAAGAAUCCAUAUGAGAGAGAAACCUUAUAAAUGUAGUGAAUGGGAAAAAGCUUUAAUCACUAAUCAAAAAUUAUUACAUCAAAGAAUACAUACUAAAGAGAAGCCCUUUAUAUGUAAAGAAUAUGGAAAAGGCCUCAGUACUAAAUUGUACCUAAUUCAACAUCAGAGAAUCCAUACUGGAGAGAAACCCUAUAAAUGUGAUGAAUGUAGAAAAGCCUUUAUCAGUAAUCAAAAUCGAUUACAAUAUCAAAGAAUCCAUACUGAAUUGAGACACCUCUCUAUACCAAUUCUUUUCCUUGAUACACAAAAUGAAACUAAUGUAUGUGGUUCAAAGUUCAUGAAGGACUUCAUAUUGGAAAUAAAACUGUUCAGAUCUAAUAAUAGAAAGAUAGGUCCAGAAAAUUUCACAGAAUCAUAGAAUUUCAGAAUUAAAAGACUCAUCUAGUUCCAUUUCUAUCUGGGAAAAAUAAAUCCUUUGUGUAAGAUAAAGCAAGCAACUUUUAUUGUAAGACUUCUAAUGAAAUUUAGAGAAACACUGUCUCCUGAACAUUUGGUUUCUAUUUUGAAUAGGUUUUUUUUUUCUUAUUUCAAGCUUAAAUUAGCUUUUUUGCAAUUUAUAUCCAUUCUCUUAGUUAUAGUCUGUUCAAACAGACUCUUUAUUAUUUGGUCAUCUCACAUACCCCUGAUACAUUUUUUUUUCUUCAGGUGAAAACGUCCCAAUUCUAUUAACUCAUGUUCAUGUGACAUGAAUAGAAGCCCUUUAGCUUUAUGUUCACCUCUUUUUCCAUACUCUAGCAAUGUUCCUUUAUUUAUUUAUUUUUAUAAUUGAUGAUAGUAUUCUAAUUGUAUUCUGAGUCAUCGUAGAGCUAUACACACUGGAUAGUAUAUCUCUUCUAAUAUAGUUUAAGAUUGAAUUACCCUUUUUACUGCCCUUUUACACUAUUUGAGUCCUUUUAAACCUAUCAUCCACCAAAAUCUCUAGAUGUUUUGCGGAGACAACUUGGUAUGCUGAACAACAUUGGAGUCAGCAGAGAUUCCUAAAACUUUUUUGAGCCAUUGAUAUGAAAUGAAAUUGUAAUUUAUUCUAUACUGCAGAUCAGGGUAUUAGAUUUUUUCACCAGCUGCAUAUGGUUAUGUUGAGAGGGUAAUGCGACUUAGUUCUUAUGUCUCUCUUUUUGAUCAUAUAAAAUUGCUAUUUAGUGACAUUAUUCUAGGUGCUGGGGAGAUUAUAUAAAACAAGGUCUUUGACAAUGUAUUUUGAAGGGUAUGACAUUUUGUAAUAACUAAUAUAAACUGGCAUAUGAGAUAAACACAUGUAGUCUAUUAUGAAAAUUCAUAAAAGUGCUUCCUGAACCUCUAAUCUUCUGUGUAGAAUAUGUGAGGGAUGUAGAAGACCCUUACCCAAAAUGACUACUCAGAGAUCACUCAGUAGAAGGCAGAAAAGUUGUUUAUUGAAAAACCUCCGGAGGAUGAGCCAUCCCAUCGCAAGAUAAGCUCGCGGUAGGAGGGCUAAAGAAGUAGUAAAGAUACAUAGCUUUUAUACAAGAAAUUACAUCACAAGUAAGAGAGCAUUGAGAAGGGGAGGGGGAGGCAUCUAAUUGGUUGUUGCUAUUUGGGGAGAUUGGAAUGGAAGGUUUCUGUUUCCCUGAAAUCUCCUGAUUUCUGGGAAACAAAGUCAGGCCUUCAGGCUUAAUCAAGCAGACAGUGGUCCAGCUAAUAGACUAAAUAUUGAUAAAUGUCAAAUACCAAUAAAUGUCAUCAGUUCAGGUUAAGUAAAUAUGUUUCUAGCUGGCUGCUUAAGUAGAUAUGAGCCUGCACAUAUUAUACAUGUCAUAGGGGAGACACAGAAAUAAUAAAAUAAAGAAAAAGAAUUCAUACAUUCCUGUAAAUUCUUCACCUUU